GUAGUUGGUGUAGGUAACGGCUCACCAAGCCUUCGAUCAGUAACUGGUGUGAGAGCACGACCAGUCACACGGGCACUGAGACACGGGCCCGACUCCUACGGGAGGCAGCAGUAAGGAAUAUUGGUCAAUGGACGCAAGUCUGAACCAGCCAUGCCGCGUGGAGGAUGAAGGUCCUCUGGAUUGUAAACUUCUUUUAUUUGGGAAGAAAUGCAUCUUUUCUAAGGUGUUUGACGGUACCAGAUGAAUAAGCACCGGCUAACUCCGUGCCAGCAGCCGCGGUAAUACGGAGGGCGCAAGCGUUAUCCGGAUUCACUGGGUUUAAAGGGUGCGUAGGUGGGCAGUUAAGUCAGUGGUGAAAUCUCCGGGCUUAACCCGGAAACUGCCAUUGAUACUAUCUGUCUUGAAUAUCGUGGAGGUAAGCGGAAUAUGUCAUGUAGCGGUGAAAUGCUUAGAUAUGACAUAGAACACCAAUUGCGAAGGCAGCUUACUACCCGAAUAUUGACACUGGGGCACGAAAGCGUGGGGAUCAAACAGGAUUAGAUACCCUGGUAGUCCACGCCCUAAACGAUGGAUACUCGACAUACGCGAUAUACAGCGUGUGUCUGAGCGAAAGCAUUAAGUAUCCCACCUGGGAAGUACGACCGCAAGGUUGAAACUCAAAGGAAUUGACG
RNAcentral lists this ribosomal RNA (671 nucleotides) under uncultured Bacteroidota bacterium. RNAcentral describes it as "SSU rRNA". It matches the Rfam family "Bacterial small subunit ribosomal RNA", at positions 245 to 915 of the family's 1533-position model. Lineage: Bacteria; Pseudomonadati; Bacteroidota. The record is from RNAcentral.